UACGUAGGGUGCAAGCGUUGUCCGGAAUUAUUGGGCGUAAAGGGCUCGUAGGCGGUUUGUCGCGUCGGGAGUGAAAACUCAGGGCUUAACCCUGAGCCUGCUUCCGAUACGGGCAGACUAGAGGUAUGCAGGGGAGAAUGGAAUUCCUGGUGUAGCGGUGAAAUGCGCAGAUAUCAGGAGGAACACCGGUGGCGAAGGCGGCCAUCUGGACCGGCACUGACGCUGGAGGCGCGAAAGCGUGGGGAGCAAACAGG
This 254-nucleotide ribosomal RNA is filed under the name uncultured bacterium. RNAcentral describes it as "partial 16S ribosomal RNA". It matches the Rfam family "Bacterial small subunit ribosomal RNA", at positions 524 to 776 of the family's 1533-position model. The record is from RNAcentral.